GACGAACGCUGGCGGCGUGCUUAACACAUGCAAGUCGAACGGAAAGGCCCUGCUUUUGUGGGGUGCUCGAGUGGCGAACGGGUGAGUAACACGUGAGUAACCUGCCCUUGACUUUGGGAUAACUUCAGGAAACUGGGGCUAAUACCGGAUAGGAGCUCCUGCUGCGUGGUGGGGGUUGGAAAGUUUCGGCGGUUGGGGAUGGACUCGCGGCUUAUCAGCUUGUUGGUGGGGUAGUGGCUUACCAAGGCUUUGACGGGUAGCCGGCCUGAGAGGGUGACCGCCCACAUUGGGACUGAGAUACGGCCCAGACUCCUACGGGAGGCAGCAGUGGGGAAUAUUGCACAAUGGGCGGAAGCCUGAUGCAGCAACGCCGCGUGCGGGAUGACGGCCUUCGGGUUGUAAACCGCUUUCGCCUGUGACGAAGCGUGAGUGGCGGUAAUGGGUAAAGAAGCACCGGCUAACUACGUG
RNAcentral lists this ribosomal RNA (468 nucleotides) under uncultured bacterium. RNAcentral's name for it is "partial 16S ribosomal RNA". It matches the Rfam family "Bacterial small subunit ribosomal RNA", at positions 28 to 507 of the family's 1533-position model. The record is from RNAcentral.